CGUGUUCGUUAGGGGUGCUCUUCAUGGGCUGAGAAAUUACCCUUUGAACCUGAUUUGUUUAAUUGCAACGAAGGGAAACGAGUAUUGCUUAAU
Molecule: non-coding RNA, 93 nt
Filed under: Paracellulophaga algicola
Lineage: Bacteria; Pseudomonadati; Bacteroidota; Flavobacteriia; Flavobacteriales; Flavobacteriaceae
Description: Cellulophaga algicola TPP sequence
Rfam family: TPP riboswitch aptamer (THI element)
About the family: Vitamin B(1) in its active form thiamin pyrophosphate (TPP) is an essential coenzyme that is synthesised by coupling of pyrimidine and thiazole moieties in bacteria. The previously detected thiamin-regulatory element, thi box was extended, resulting in a new, highly conserved RNA secondary structure, the THI element, which is widely distributed in eubacteria and also occurs in some archaea. Analysis of operon structures identified a large number of new candidate thiamin-regulated genes, mostly transporters, in various prokaryotic organisms.
Source: RNAcentral